AGCGUACACGGUGGAUGCCCUGGCAGUCAGAGGCGAUGAAGGGCGUGCUAAUCUGCGAUAAGCGCCGGUAAGGUGAUAUGAACCGUUAUAACCGGCGAUACCCGAAUGGGGAAACCCAGUGUGAUUCGUCACACUAUCAUUAACUGAAUCCAUAGGUUAAUGAGGCGAACCGGGGGAACUGAAACAUCUAAGUACCCCGAGGAAAAGAAAUCAACCGAGAUUCCCCCAGUAGCGGCGAGCGAACGGGGAGGAGCCCAGAGCCUGAAUCAGCAUGUGUGUUAGUGGAAGCGUCUGGAAAGGCGCGCGAUACAGGGUGACAGCCCCGUACACAAAAGCGCAUGUGCUGUGAGCUCGAUGAGUAGGGCGGGACACGUGGUAUCCUGUCUGAAUAUGGGGGGACCAUCCUCCAAGGCUAAAUACUCCUGACUGACCGAUAGUGAACCAGUACCGUGAGGGAAAGGCGAAAAGAACCCCGGCGAGGGGAGUGAAAAAGAACCUGAAACCGUGUACGUACAAGCAGUGGGAGCACAGGUUUACCUGUGUGACUGCGUACCUUUUGUAUAAUGGGUCAGCGACUUAUAUUCUGUAGCAAGGUUAACCGUNNNNNNNNNNGAACCCCGGCGAGGGGAGUGAAAAAGAACCUGAAACCGUGUACGUACAAGCAGUGGGAGCCCCACCACUAAGCCAGUGGUGAACUCCACAUCCGCAUCCUUUGCUGAGGAUACGGUUAACGGAGCGAAAGCGACGUUCAACCGCAAAACAAGCAGAGGGGGCUUAGUGGUGGGGUGACUGCGUACCUUUUGUAUAAUGGGUCAGCGACUUAUAUUCUGUAGCAAGGUUAACCGAAUAGGGGAGCCGGAGGGAAACCGAGUCUUAAUUGGGCGUUAAGUUGCAGGGUAUAGACCCGAAACCCGGUGAUCUAGCCAUGGGCAGGUUGAAGGUUGGGUAACACUAACUGGAGGACCGAACCGACUAAUGUUGAAAAAUUAGCGGAUGACCUGUGGCUGGGGGUGAAAGGCCAAUCAAACCGGGAGAUAGCUGGUUCUCCCCGAAAGCUAUUUAGGUAGCGCCUCGUGAAUUCAUCUCCGGGGGUAGAGCACUGUUUCGGCUAGGGGGCCAUCCCGGCUUACCAACCCGAUGCAAACUGCGAAUACCGGAGAAUGUUAUCACGGGAGACACACGGCGGGUGCUAACGUCCGUCGUGAAGAGGGAAACAACCCAGACCGCCAGCUAAGGUCCCAAAGUCAUGGUUAAGUGGGAAACGAUGUGGGAAGGCCCAGACAGCCAGGAUGUUGGCUUAGAAGCAGCCAUCAUUUAAAGAAAGCGUAAUAGCUCACUGGUCGAGUCGGCCUGCGCGGAAGAUGUAACGGGGCUAAACCAUGCACCGAAGCUGCGGCAGCGAACGUAUCACCCAAGACAACUUUACGGAGUUGACGAUUGACGGAGCGAAGCGACGUCAAAGCGUUCAUUAAAGUCGAGUUGGCUUAGGGAUACGUUCGUUGGGUAGGGGAGCGUUCUGUAAGCCCGUGAAGGUGGCCUGUGAGGGUNNNNNNNNNNUCAUUAAAGUCGAGUUGGCUUAGGGAUACGUUCGUUGGGUAGGGGAGCGUUCUGUAAGCCUGUGAAGGUGUGUCGUGAGGCAUGCUGGAGGUAUCAGAAGUGCGAAUGCUGACAUAAGUAACGAUAAAGCGGGUGAAAAGCCCGCUCGCCGGAAGACCAAGGGUUCCUGUCCAACGUUAAUCGGGGCAGGGUGAGUCGACCCCUAAGGCGAGGCCGAAAGGCGUAGUCGAUGGGAAACGGGUUAAUAUUCCCGUACUUGGUGUUACUGCGAAGGGGGGACGGAGAAGGCUAUGUUGGCCGGGCGACGGUUGUCCCGGUUUAAGCGUGUAGGUGUGUGUUCCAGGUAAAUCCGGUUCACUUUAACACUGAGGCGUGACGACGAGGCACUACGGUGCUGAAGUAACAAAUGCCCUGCUUCCAGGAAAAGCCUCUAAGCAUCAGGUAACACGAAAUCGUACCCCAAACCGACACAGGUGGUCAGGUAGAGAAUACCAAGGCGCUUGAGAGAACUCGGGUGAAGGAACUAGGCAAAAUGGUGCCGUAACUUCGGGAGAAGGCACGCUGACACGUAGGUGAAGUGAUUUACUCAUGGAGCUGAAGUCAGUCGAAGAUACCAGCUGGCUGCAACUGUUUAUUAAAAACACAGCACUGUGCAAACACGAAAGUGGACGUAUACGGUGUGACGCCUGCCCGGUGCCGGAAGGUUAAUUGAUGGGGUCAGCGUAAGCGAAGCUCCUGAUCGAAGCCCCGGUAAACGGCGGCCGUAACUAUAACGGUCCUAAGGUAGCGAAAUUCCUUGUCGGGUAAGUUCCGACCUGCACGAAUGGCGUAAUGAUGGCCAGGCUGUCUCCACCCGAGACUCAGUGAAAUUGAACUCGCUGUGAAGAUGCAGUGUACCCGCGGCAAGACGGAAAGACCCCGUGAACCUUUACUAUAGCUUGACACUGAACAUUGAGCCUUGAUGUGUAGGAUAGGUGGGAGGCUUUGAAGUGUGGACGCCAGUCUGCAUGGAGCCGACCUUGAAAUACCACCCUUUAAUGUUUGAUGUUCUAACGUGGACCCGUAAUCCGGGUUGCGGACAGUGUCUGGUGGGUAGUUUGACUGGGGCGGUCUCCUCCUAAAGAGUAACGGAGGAGCACGAAGGUUGGCUAAUCCUGGUCGGACAUCAGGAGGUUAGUGCAAUGGCAUAAGCCAGCUUGACUGCGAGCGUGACGGCGCGAGCAGGUGCGAAAGCAGGUCAUAGUGAUCCGGUGGUUCUGAAUGGAAGGGCCAUCGCUCAACGGAUAAAAGGUACUCCGGGGAUAACAGGCUGAUACCGCCCAAGAGUUCAUAUCGACGGCGGUGUUUGGCACCUCGAUGUCGGCUCAUCACAUCCUGGGGCUGAAGUAGGUCCCAAGGGUAUGGCUGUUCGCCAUUUAAAGUGGUACGCGAGCUGGGUUUAGAACGUCGUGAGACAGUUCGGUCCCUAUCUGCCGUGGGCGCUGGAGAACUGAGGGGGGCUGCUCCUAGUACGAGAGGACCGGAGUGGACGCAUCACGGGGUUCGGGUUGUCAUGCCAAUGGCACUGCCCGGUAGCUAAAUGCGGAAGAGAUAAGUGCUGAAAGCAUCUAAGCACGAAACUUGCCCCGAGAUGAGUUCU
Molecule: ribosomal RNA, 3196 nt
Filed under: Salmonella enterica subsp. enterica serovar Typhimurium
Lineage: Bacteria; Pseudomonadati; Pseudomonadota; Gammaproteobacteria; Enterobacterales; Enterobacteriaceae
Description: bacterial LSU rRNA
Rfam family: Bacterial large subunit ribosomal RNA
Source: RNAcentral